This 1324-nucleotide ribosomal RNA is filed under the name Lactiplantibacillus plantarum. RNAcentral describes it as "bacterial SSU rRNA". It matches the Rfam family "Bacterial small subunit ribosomal RNA", at positions 60 to 1352 of the family's 1533-position model. The record is from RNAcentral. Lineage: Bacteria; Bacillati; Bacillota; Bacilli; Lactobacillales; Lactobacillaceae.
AGUCGACGACUCUGGUAUUGAUUGGUGCUUGCAUCAUGAUUUACAUUUGAGUGAGUGGCGAACUGGUGAGUAACACGUGGGAAACCUGCCCAGAAGCGGGGGAUAACACCUGGAAACAGAUGCUAAUACCGCAUAACAACUUGGACCGCAUGGUCCGAGUUUGAAAGAUGGCUUCGGCUAUCACUUUUGGAUGGUCCCGCGGCGUAUUAGCUAGAUGGUGGGGUAACGGCUCACCAUGGCAAUGAUACGUAGCCGACCUGAGAGGGUAAUCGGCCACAUUGGGACUGAGACACGGCCCAAACUCCUACGGGAGGCAGCAGUAGGGAAUCUUCCACAAUGGACGAAAGUCUGAUGGAGCAACGCCGCGUGAGUGAAGAAGGGUUUCGGCUCGUAAAACUCUGUUGUUAAAGAAGAACAUAUCUGAGAGUAACUGUUCAGGUAUUGACGGUAUUUAACCAGAAAGCCACGGCUAACUACGUGCCAGCAGCCGCGGUAAUACGUAGGUGGCAAGCGUUGUCCGGAUUUAUUGGGCGUAAAGCGAGCGCAGGCGGUUUUUUAAGUCUGAUGUGAAAGCCUUCGGCUCAACCGAAGAAGUGCAUCGGAAACUGGGAAACUUGAGUGCAGAAGAGGACAGUGGAACUCCAUGUGUAGCGGUGAAAUGCGUAGAUAUAUGGAAGAACACCAGUGGCGAAGGCGGCUGUCUGGUCUGUAACUGACGCUGAGGCUCGAAAGUAUGGGUAGCAAACAGGAUUAGAUACCCUGGUAGUCCAUACCGUAAACGAUGAAUGCUAAGUGUUGGAGGGUUUCCGCCCUUCAGUGCUGCAGCUAACGCAUUAAGCAUUCCGCCUGGGGAGUACGGCCGCAAGGCUGAAACUCAAAGGAAUUGACGGGGGCCCGCACAAGCGGUGGAGCAUGUGGUUUAAUUCGAAGCUACGCGAAGAACCUUACCAGGUCUUGACAUACUAUGCAAAUCUAAGAGAUUAGACGUUCCCUUCGGGGACAUGGAUACAGGUGGUGCAUGGUUGUCGUCAGCUCGUGUCGUGAGAUGUUGGGUUAAGUCCCGCAACGAGCGCAACCCUUAUUAUCAGUUGCCAGCAUUAAGUUGGGCACUCUGGUGAGACUGCCGGUGACAAACCGGAGGAAGGUGGGGAUGACGUCAAAUCAUCAUGCCCCUUAUGACCUGGGCUACACACGUGCUACAAUGGAUGGUACAACGAGUUGCGAACUCGCGAGAGUAAGCUAAUCUCUUAAAGCCAUUCUCAGUUCGGAUUGUAGGCUGCAACUCGCCUACAUGAAGUCGGAAUCGCUAGUAAUCGCGGAUCAG